Molecule: long non-coding RNA, 713 nt
Filed under: Erythranthe guttata (spotted monkey flower)
Lineage: Eukaryota; Viridiplantae; Streptophyta; Magnoliopsida; Lamiales; Phrymaceae
Description: long non-coding RNA (EGUT_LNC003836)
Source: RNAcentral
CUUGUGGAUUCCAUUCGGAAGGGAUUAAAGGAAGAGAUAGAAUCUGGCUUGCGUAGCAUAAUCGAAGAAACAGUGCAAGAUGUUAUACGAUCUCUCACAAGAACAAACUCUUUGGCUCCUGAAUCUGCUGCAGUUUCAGCUCCUUCCACGUCUAGACGGGUAAUUAUUUUACUUGGAAAUUGUAUUUUGCAAAUGUAUGUAGUAAUUAAUAUUUUUGCAUACAUCAAAUUCCUACAGGAUCGUAGAAUUCCUACAUCGUCUAAUUUGCACUAUGAAGGAGGCACUCAACCACAUAAAUCAGUCCCGGAGUCUUCAAGUAUACAUCAUAUGCCAUCAACUCAUACACAAUGCGCUCAUGCACUCUCUGGGUCAUCUAGCAUGCCUCAUAUACCAGCCCAUGUUCAAGAAACUCAGGUUCAAGAAACUCAAACUCAAGAAUUAAGUGCGAAUGACGUGUGUAAAAGGAAAUCGCAAAAAAGGUAAACUUUUGCUAGCUAAAUUUUCUUCAGAAAUACUUAUUUUUCAUUACUUGAUUUUAAGUAGUCCUUGUUGAAAUUUGGAUUUGUAAAUUUGGAUUUUUUAUUUUUCAGAAAUUUUCGAAGUGUUUGGCAGCGAUAGAAGAUUGUUAAAAUGUGAGCUAUUGAGGUGGCUGGAGUCUUUUGUUCAAAUUCAGAUAAACCUUCAAUUGUAAAUUUUAUUAAAAUUUGUCUAUA